GUGAUUAAAAACUUUAUUGCUCACACAAAGCCUGUUUGGUGGUCUCUUCACAUGGACGCGUGUGACAUUUGGUGCUGAAGACCCAGACCAGGGGGACUCCUUCAGGAGACCGGCCCCCUGUCCUUGCCCUCACUCCGUGAGGAGAUCCAUCUAGGACGUCAGGUCCUCAGAACAGCCCAAGGAAUGUCUCACCAAUUUCAAAUCAGGACCCCACUGGAAAUUGGACUGUCCAACUUGCCUGGCAGCCACUCCCAGAGCCCCUGGAACUCUGGCCCAAGGCUGUCUGUCUGAUUCCUUCCCAGAUCUUCUUGGCAUGGCGGCUGAAGACUGACAGUGCCCAAUCACCUCGGAAGCCUCCUGGACCAUCACAGAUGCUUCAGGGAACUCUUACAGUGGAAGAUUCCCAGCCAUAUGAAGACACCCUAGCUGGACGAUCAGUUCUUGUUAAGAAUCUGACCCCUCAAACUCUACAACCUCAAUGGACCAGACCCUACUUAGUCAUCUAUAGUACCCCAACUGCCGUCCACCUGCAGGACCCUCCCCCUUGGGUUCACCAUUCCAGAAUAAAGCUGUGUCCCUCGGA
Long non-coding RNA from Piliocolobus tephrosceles (Ugandan red Colobus), 583 nucleotides. RefSeq lists it as uncharacterized. The transcript has 3 exons. The record is from RefSeq and is a predicted model, not a curated record. NCBI's taxonomy places the organism in Eukaryota, Metazoa, Chordata, Mammalia, Primates, Cercopithecidae.